CGGGAGGCCUAAUACAUGCAAGUCGAACGGUAACGAGGGGUAGCAAUACCCGCUGACGAGUGGCGCACGGGUGCGUAACACGUACACAAUCUACCUUAUACUGGAGCAUAACCGUUGGGAAACUGAGGCUAAUUCUCCAUAACAUAUUGAAGAGGCAUCUCUUUAAUAUUAAAACUCAGGUGGUAUAAGAUGAGUGUGCGUCUGAUUAGCUAGUUGGUGGGGUAAUGGCUCACCAAGGCAACGAUCAGUAGCUGGUCUGAGAGGAUGAUCAGCCACACGGGCACUGAGACACGGGCCCGACUCCUACGGGAGGCAGCAGUAGGGAAUAUUGGACAAUGGGCGCAAGCCUGAUCCAGCCAUCCCGCGUGAAGGAUUAAGGCCCUCUGGGUUGUAAACUUCUUUUCUUUGGGAAUAAAAACUCCGUUUCUACGGAGCUUGAAGGUACCAGAGGAAUAAGCACCGGCUAACUCCGUG
Molecule: ribosomal RNA, 474 nt
Filed under: uncultured bacterium
Lineage: Bacteria
Description: bacterial SSU rRNA
Rfam family: Bacterial small subunit ribosomal RNA
Source: RNAcentral